CGCUUCACUCCUACGGGAGGCAGCAGUAGGGAAUCUUCCACAAUGGGCGCAAGCCUGAUGGAGCAACACCGCGUGAGUGAAGAAGGGUUUCGGCUCGUAAAGCUCUGUUGUUAAAGAAGAACACGUAUGAGAGUAACUGUUCAUACGUUGACGGUAUUUAACCAGAAAGUCACGGCUAACUACGUGCCAGCAGCCGCGGUAAUACGUAGGUGGCAAGCGUUAUCCGGAUUUAUUGGGCGUAAAGAGAGUGCAGGCGGUUUUCUAAGUCUGAUGUGAAAGCCUUCGGCUUAACCGGAGAAGUGCAUCGGAAACUGGAUAACUUGAGUGCAGAAGAGGGUAGUGGAACUCCAUGUGUAGCGGUGGAAUGCGUAGAUAUAUGGAAGAACACCAGUGGCGAAGGCGGCUACCUGGUCUGCAACUGACGCUGAGACUCGAAAGCAUGGGUAGCGAACAGGAUUAGAUACCCUGGUAG
RNAcentral lists this ribosomal RNA (472 nucleotides) under uncultured bacterium. Its description in RNAcentral is "bacterial SSU rRNA". It matches the Rfam family "Bacterial small subunit ribosomal RNA", at positions 329 to 793 of the family's 1533-position model. The record is from RNAcentral.